RNAcentral lists this ribosomal RNA (429 nucleotides) under Bacteroidota bacterium. RNAcentral's name for it is "Bacteroidetes bacterium partial 16S ribosomal RNA". It matches the Rfam family "Bacterial small subunit ribosomal RNA", at positions 355 to 776 of the family's 1533-position model. Lineage: Bacteria; Pseudomonadati; Bacteroidota. The record is from RNAcentral.
UAGGGAAUCUUCCGCAAUGGACGCAAGUCUGACGGAGCAACGCCGCGUGAGUGAAGAAGGAUUUCGGUUCGUAAAACUCUGUUGUUAGAGAAGAACAGCGCAUAGAGUAACUGUUAUGCGUGUGACGGUAUCUAACCAGAAAGCCACGGCUAACUACGUGCCAGCAGCCGCGGUAAUACGUAGGUGGCAAGCGUUAUCCGGAAUUAUUGGGCGUAAAGCGCGCGUAGGCGGUUUUUUAAGUCUGAUGUGAAAGCCCACGGCUCAACCGUGGAGGGUCAUUGGAAACUGGAAAACUUGAGUGCAGAAGAGGAAAGUGGAAUUCCAUGUGUAGCGGUGAAAUGCGCAGAGAUAUGGAGGAACACCAGUGGCGAAGGCGACUUUCUGGUCUGUAACUGACGCUGAGGCUCGAAAGCGUGGGUAGCAAACAGG